GCGGGGGUGCCGGAGCCUGGUCAAACGGGUACGGUUGAGGGCCGUAUGGCUUAGUGCCUGCGAGGGUUCGAAUCCCUUCCCCCGCA
Molecule: transfer RNA, 86 nt
Filed under: archaeon
Lineage: Archaea
Description: tRNA-Leu
Rfam family: tRNA
About the family: Transfer RNA (tRNA) molecules are approximately 80 nucleotides in length. Their secondary structure includes four short double-helical elements and three loops (D, anti-codon, and T loops). Further hydrogen bonds mediate the characteristic L-shaped molecular structure. tRNAs have two regions of fundamental functional importance: the anti-codon, which is responsible for specific mRNA codon recognition, and the 3' end, to which the tRNAs corresponding amino acid is attached (by aminoacyl-tRNA synthetases). tRNAs cope with the degeneracy of the genetic code in two manners: having more than one tRNA (with a specific anti-codon) for a particular amino acid; and 'wobble' base-pairing, i.e. permitting non-standard base-pairing at the 3rd anti-codon position.
Source: RNAcentral